Molecule: unclassified non-coding RNA, 884 nt
Organism: Lingula anatina
Lineage: Eukaryota; Metazoa; Brachiopoda; Lingulata; Lingulida; Lingulidae
Source: RefSeq, a predicted model, not a curated record
GAGUCAUGUGCUACUUUGUUUGUUUGUUUUUGAAAAGUGGUCUGAGGCUGAGAGACGUUUGUCCAGUUGGCAUCAUCGUUGAAAUACUAGUAAUCGACGAUAGCCAUCUUUGGAGGUCAGGUGGUCCGAUACCAAGCACCAAUUCCAGAAUAAUUGAGAUCACCACUGUUUUGGUGAUACUUUCUGCUACCAGUAUAUUUUAAUGUGACUUGUGUAGACUGCAUCAGAGAAACGAUCAGUUUUACAGACAGCAACUUAAAUGUAUAUAAGCUACGUAUUAUAUGCACAGGUCUAGCAGUUUCAGGAGCGUUAACAACCGGAGAUGUUUGGUUAUCUAGUUACCAUACUGGUUUCAAUCUUUCUGACGGCGGUUGUCGUCCAAGAAUCUGAGGCGGUGUGUUGUUCCUCAGGAGCCUCGCUCCGCUGGUGUGUGGACUGUACCAGGAGAACCCCGUAUUGUGGCAAAGGACCAUGCAAUGUAUUCGGCUGCGCGUGCGAGGGUGGAUGUAGACAGUCUUGUGGCCCAAAACUCCUCGAUCCAGUUAACGCUGGGAUUGUAAUUUACUACAAUACGUGUCGUUGCAAUAACAAGAGAUCCAUGACAGAUGAGGCUGUGGUUGAUGCAUACAGAGAGGAUCAGGUUUUCGAGCCCUGAAUUGGCACCGGGACUAGAUCCAGGCGUGCAAAUGUAGGAGAGGAGCCGUGUGGGCAUACUUUUAUUUCUAUUAUAAUUAUUAUUCAGAUGAGAACAUGUAAUGUUAGGACAAGAGUCUACAGGAUAUUUCCUACAUACAUGUAGCUCUACAUUUGGACUUUUUAUCGUUUUGAUCAUCCCACAAAUAACAAAUAAAAACAUGCAACUCCAAACGUCCAGAUACCGCCAA